AACGAACGCUGGCGGCAGGCUUAACACAUGCAAGUCGAACGGUUGUAGCAAUACAGCAGUGGCAGACGGGUGAGUAACACGUGGGAACCUUCCUAGGGGUACGGAACAACUCAGGGAAACUUGAGCUAAUACCGUAUACGUCCGUGAGGAGAAAGAUUUAUCGCCCUUAGACGGGCCCGCGUCGGAUUAGCUAGUUGGUGGGGUAACGGCCUACCAAGGCGACGAUCCGUAGCUGAUCUUAGAGGAUGAUCAGCCACACUGGGACUGAGACACGGCCCAGACUCCUACGGGAGGCAGCAGUGGGGAAUCUUGGACAAUGGGCGCAAGCCUGAUCCAGCCAUGCCGCGUGAGUGAAGAAGGUCUUCGGAUUGUAAAGCUCUUUGCCAGGGACGAUAAUGACGGUACCUGGAGAAUAAGCCCCGGCAAACUUCGUG
Molecule: ribosomal RNA, 434 nt
Filed under: uncultured bacterium
Lineage: Bacteria
Description: bacterial SSU rRNA
Rfam family: Bacterial small subunit ribosomal RNA
Source: RNAcentral